GACGAACGCUGGCGGCGUGCUUAACACAUGCAAGUCGAACGGAAAGGCCCUGCUUUUGUGGGGUGCUCGAGUGGCGAACGGGUGAGUAACACGUGAGUAACCUGCCCUUGACUUUGGGAUAACUUCAGGAAACUGCGGCUAAUACCGGAUAGGAGCUCCUGCUGCACGGUGGGGGUUGGAAAGUUUCGGCGGUUGGGGAUGGACGCGCGGCUUAUCAGCUUGUUGGUGGGGUAGUGGCUUACCAAGGCUUUGAGGGAUAGCCGGCCUGAGAGGGUGACCGGCCACAAUGGUACUGGGAUACGGCGCAGAAUCCAACGGGCGGCAGCAGUCGGGAAUAUUGCGGAAUGGGCCGGAGUCUGAGGCAGCAACGCCGCGUGCGGGAUGACGUGCUACGGGUUGUGAACAGCUUUCGCCUGUGACGAAGCGUGAGUGACGGUAAUGGAUAAAGAAGCACCGGCUAACUACGUG
Molecule: ribosomal RNA, 468 nt
Filed under: uncultured bacterium
Lineage: Bacteria
Description: partial 16S ribosomal RNA
Rfam family: Bacterial small subunit ribosomal RNA
Source: RNAcentral